UACGUAGGGUGCGAGCGUUAAUCGGAAUUACUGGGCGUAAAGCGUGCGCAGGCGGUUCGCCAAGUCAGGUGUGAAAUCCCCGGGCUUAACCUGGGAAUUGCGCUUGAAACUAGCGGGCCUGAGUGUGGCAGAGGGGGGUGGAAUUCCACGUGUAGCAGUGAAAUGCGUAGAUAUCUGGAGGAACACCGGUGGCGAAGGCGGCAUCCUGGACCGAGAUUGACGCUGAGGCGCGAAAGCCAGGGGAGCAAACGGG
RNAcentral lists this ribosomal RNA (253 nucleotides) under uncultured bacterium. RNAcentral describes it as "partial 16S ribosomal RNA". It matches the Rfam family "Bacterial small subunit ribosomal RNA", at positions 524 to 776 of the family's 1533-position model. The record is from RNAcentral.